GAUGAACGCUGGCGGCGUGCCUAAUACAUGCAAGUCGAGCGAAUGGAUUAAGAGCUUGCUCUUAUGAAGUUAGCGGCGGACGGGUGAGUAACACGUGAGUAACCUGCCCAUAAGACUGGGAUAAAUCCGGGAAACCGGGGCUAAUACCGGAUAACAUUUUGAACCGCAUGGUUCGAAAUUGAAAGGCGGCUUCGGCUGUCACUUAUGGAUGGGCCCGCGUCGCAUUAGCUAGUUGGUGAGGUAACGGCUCACCAAGGCAACGAUGCGUAGCCGACCUGAGAGGGUGAUCGGCCACACUGGGACUGAGACACGGCCCAGACUCCUACGGGAGGCAGCAGUAGGGAAUCUUCCGCAAUGGACGAAAGUCUGACGGAGCAACGCCGCGUGAGUGAUGAAGGCUUUCGGGUCGUAAAACUCUGUUGUUAGGGAAGAACAAGUGCUAGUUGAAUAAGCUGGCACCUUGACGGUACCUAACCAGAAAGCCACGGCUAACUACGUGCCAGCCGCCGCGGUAA
This 515-nucleotide ribosomal RNA is filed under the name uncultured bacterium. Its description in RNAcentral is "partial 16S ribosomal RNA". It matches the Rfam family "Bacterial small subunit ribosomal RNA", at positions 28 to 523 of the family's 1533-position model. The record is from RNAcentral.